RNAcentral lists this ribosomal RNA (220 nucleotides) under uncultured bacterium. Its description in RNAcentral is "partial 16S ribosomal RNA". It matches the Rfam family "Bacterial small subunit ribosomal RNA", at positions 28 to 241 of the family's 1533-position model. The record is from RNAcentral.
GACGAACGCUGGCGGCGUGCUUAACACAUGCAAGUGGAGCGACGAACCGGGCUUCGGCCCGGGGCAGAGCCGCGAACGGGUGAGUAACACGUGGGUAACGUGCCCCGAUGACUGGGACAACCCGGGGAAACCCGGGCUAAUACCAGAUGUGCCCUUCCACCAUCAGGUGGUUGGGGAAAGGUAGCUUCGGCUUCCGCAUCGGGAUCGGCCCGCGGCCCUA